This 1372-nucleotide ribosomal RNA is filed under the name uncultured bacterium. RNAcentral describes it as "bacterial SSU rRNA". It matches the Rfam family "Bacterial small subunit ribosomal RNA", at positions 28 to 1381 of the family's 1533-position model. The record is from RNAcentral.
GAUGAACGCUGGCGGCGUGCCUAAUACAUGCAAGUCGAGCGAACGGACGAGAAGCUUGCUUCUCUGAUGUUAGCGGCGGACGGGUGAGUAACACGUGGAUAACCUACCUAUAAGACUGGGAUAACUUCGGGAAACCGGAGCUAAUACCGGAUAAUAUUUUGAACCGCAUGGUUCAAAAGUGAAAGACGGUCUUGCUGUCACUUAUAGAUGGAUCCGCGCUGCAUUAGCUAGUUGGUGAGGUAACGGCUUACCAAGGCAACGAUGCAUAGCCGACCUGAGAGGGUGAUCGGCCACACUGGAACUGAGACACGGUCCAGACUCCUACGGGAGGCAGCAGUAGGGAAUCUUCCGCAAUGGGCGAAAGCCUGACGGAGCAACGCCGCGUGAGUGAUGAAGGUCUUCGGAUCGUAAAACUCUGUUAUUAGGGAAGAACAUAUGUGUAAGUAACUGUGCACGUCUUGACGGUACCUAAUCAGAAAGCCACGGCUAACUACGUGCCAGCAGCCGCGGUAAUACGUAGGUGGCAAGCGUUAUCCGGAAUUAUUGGGCGUAAAGCGCGCGUAGGCGGUUUUUUAAGUCUGAUGUGAAAGCCCACGGCUCAACCGUGGAGGGUCAUUGGAAACUGGAAAACUUGAGUGCAGAAGAGGAAAGUGGAAUUCCAUGUGUAGCGGUGAAAUGCGCAGAGAUAUGGAGGAACACCAGUGGCGAAGGCGACUUUCUGGUCUGUAACUGACGCUGAUGUGCGAAAGCGUGGGGAUCAAACAGGAUUAGAUACCCUGGUAGUCCACGCCGUAAACGAUGAGUGCUAAGUGUUAGGGGGUUUCCGCCCCUUAGUGCUGCAGCUAACGCAUUAAGCACUCCGCCUGGGGAGUACGACCGCAAGGUUGAAACUCAAAGGAAUUGACGGGGACCCGCACAAGCGGUGGAGCAUGUGGUUUAAUUCGAAGCAACGCGAAGAACCUUACCAAAUCUUGACAUCCUUUGACAACUCUAGAGAUAGAGCCUUCCCCUUCGGGGGACAAAGUGACAGGUGGUGCAUGGUUGUCGUCAGCUCGUGUCGUGAGAUGUUGGGUUAAGUCCCGCAACGAGCGCAACCCUUAAGCUUAGUUGCCAUCAUUAAGUUGGGCACUCUAAGUUGACUGCCGGUGACAAACCGGAGGAAGGUGGGGAUGACGUCAAAUCAUCAUGCCCCUUAUGAUUUGGGCUACACACGUGCUACAAUGGACAAUACAAAGGGCAGCGAAACCGCGAGGUCAAGCAAAUCCCAUAAAGUUGUUCUCAGUUCGGAUUGUAGUCUGCAACUCGACUACAUGAAGCUGGAAUCGCUAGUAAUCGUAGAUCAGCAUGCUACGGUGAAUACGUUCCCGGGUCU